ACUCCUACGGGAGGCAGCAGUGGGGAAUAUUGGACAAUGGGGGAAACCCUGAUCCAGCCAUGCCGCGUGUGUGAAGAAGGCCUUCGGGUUGUAAAGCACUUUCAGUGGGGAGGAAAGGUUGAUGGUUAAUACCUAUCAGCUGUGACGUUACCCACAGAAGAAGCACCGGCUAACUCCGUGCCAGCAGCCGCGGUAAUACGGAGGGUGCGAGCGUUAUCCGGAUUUAUUGGGUUUAAAGGGUCCGUAGGCGGAUUAAUAAGUCAGUGGUGAAAUCCCAUCGCUUAACGAUGGAACUGCCAUUGAUACUGUUAGUCUUGAAUGAGGGUGCAGUGGUUGGAAUGUGUAGUGUAGCGGUGAAAUGCAUAGAUAUUACACAGAACACCGAUUGCGAAGGCAGAUCACUAACCCUAAAUUGACGCUGAGGGACGAAAGCGUGGGGGAGCGAACAGGAUUAGAUACCCUGUAGACUGUC
RNAcentral lists this ribosomal RNA (472 nucleotides) under uncultured bacterium. RNAcentral's name for it is "bacterial SSU rRNA". It matches the Rfam family "Bacterial small subunit ribosomal RNA", at positions 335 to 795 of the family's 1533-position model. The record is from RNAcentral.